AAGGAUCAUUAUCGAAUUGUUAGGGAGGUUGUCGCUGGCUUGUUAUGAGCAUGUGCACACCUUCUAUGCAUUCAUCUCUACCCCUCUGUGCACCCUUUGUAGACUUGGAGAUAACUCUCAACCUAGUUGGAUGGAGGAUGAUGCAUUUCAUAUGCUUGUCUUCAAUUUCACAAGUCUAUGCCUUCAUAUACUCGAAUGUUUAGAAUGGUAUUCUUGUACUGGUCUUUGUACCUUUAUAAGCUUUAUAUACAACUUUCAGCAACGGAUCUCUUGGCUCUC
Molecule: unclassified non-coding RNA, 279 nt
Filed under: uncultured fungus
Lineage: Eukaryota; Fungi
Description: partial contains 18S rRNA, ITS1, 5.8S rRNA, ITS2 and 28S rRNA
Source: RNAcentral